AUUGAACGCUGGCGGCAGGCUUAACACAUGCAAGUCGAGCGGGGUGAUGGUGCUUGCACUAUCACUUAGCGGCGGACGGGUGAGUAAUGCUUUGGAAUCUGCCUAUUAGUGGGGGACAACAUCUCGAAAGGGAUGCUAAUACCGCAUACGUCCUACGGGAGAAAGCAGGGGAUCACUUGUGACCUUGCGCUAAUAGAUGAGCCUAAGUCGGAUUAGCUAGUUGGUGGGGUAAAGGCCUACCAAGGCGACGAUCUGUAGCGGGUCUGAGAGGAUGAUCCGCCACACUGGGACUGAGACACGGCCCGGAAUCCUACGGGAGGCAGCAGUAGGGAAUAUUGGACAAUGGGGGAAACCCUGAUCCAGCCAUGCCGCGUGUGUGAAGAAGGCCUUAUGGUUGUAAAGCACUUUAAGCGAGGAGGAGGCUCUUUUGGUUAAUACCCAAGAUGAGUGGACGUUACUCGCAGAAUAAGCACCGGCUAACUCUGUGCCAGCAGCCGCCGUAA
This 503-nucleotide ribosomal RNA is filed under the name uncultured bacterium. Its description in RNAcentral is "partial 16S ribosomal RNA". It matches the Rfam family "Bacterial small subunit ribosomal RNA", at positions 30 to 523 of the family's 1533-position model. The record is from RNAcentral.